UGACGAGUUUGAUCCUGGCUCAGGAUGAACGCUAGCGGCAGGCUUAACACAUGCAAGUCGAGGGGUAUAGUUCUUCGGAGCUAGAGACCGGCGCACGGGUGCGUAACGCGUAUGCAAUCUACCUUUUACAGGGGAAUAGCCCAGAGAAAUUUGGAUUAAUGCCCCAUAGUGUUAUUGAAUCGCAUGGUUUAAUAACUAAAGUUCCAACGGUAUAAGAUGAGCAUGCGUCCCAUUAGUUAGUUGGUAAGGUAACGGCUUACCAAGACAAUGAUGGGUAGGGGUCCUGAGAGGGCGACCGGCCACACU
Molecule: ribosomal RNA, 306 nt
Filed under: uncultured Flavobacteriaceae bacterium
Lineage: Bacteria; Pseudomonadati; Bacteroidota; Flavobacteriia; Flavobacteriales; Flavobacteriaceae
Description: bacterial SSU rRNA
Rfam family: Bacterial small subunit ribosomal RNA
Source: RNAcentral